UCUCUCACCCUCUCAGCCAUGAAUCAAGAACCACUCAAAACCCUAGAAGACGAAGCUCCAGCGGGCAAUGGCGGAGAUGGAUUUCGAGCCCCGUCGCAUCGUGAUCCAUUCACCUGUGUGUCUUUCUCUCUUCUUCGAUUUCUCGGAUGGGAAACGAGACCCGCUCGGAGCUCGAAACCCUAGGAGACGAGGCUCUGAUGGCGGAGGUGGAUCUCGCUUCUUCGUCGUUUCCCAAGUACGCUUCAAGAAUGCGCCACUUAUUACGUCCGAUGGAUCUGUAAUAUCUUGGAGAUUAAUUUCAAGAAAUCCCGAUCUGUGAUAUCUUGGAGAUUAGCCGUAUCGGAUUGUUUCGCCUGUUGUGGAUUUGUUGAUCGGGACCGGAAACAGUUUUCUUCUUGCUCUUACUUUUGCGCACGUCAACAGAGUCAUUGGAUUAGGUUUAAGAGGCACCGCAGAAAUGGAGGUUGGAAUUUGGAUCCAUAUUCACAGAUGAGUAAGCUUCUCCUCUCUUUUGUUUUCUUCUUUCCCUGUAUUCAACAUUCCUCGAUGAACCUGCAUUUAGGAUAUAUCUUGCUAAUAUUCAACUAUAAUCAUUUUUAUGUGAAGAUGUUUACCUAUGUCUUGCGUUUUGCUGCUUUUUUCAAGAAAAAAUAAGUAAAUGUUUUUGUGAUUUUCUUAUUUAUUGUUUUUAUUAUUAUAAAAAUCUGCACUAUCUAUUUUAUAGUGCUAAUUUACGUUCUGAAAUAUGAGAUUGAACUGCUGAAGCAGAUUCCUAUGAUAAUCUUUUGAAUCAAUAGAAAGUAUAUGGAUGUUUGCAGAAUUAUAAUGCAACUGCACAGUUAUGGAGCAACUCAUGUUAUCAAGGAGCGAACAAAGCUUUCUUGAAGACUAAACCUAAAUUAUGCAUAAAAAACCUGUGUAAACCCACCCGUUCUGUCCCAUAAGUUUCAACCUUACCUACAUUCAAAGCGAAUCUUGAUUCAUAUUGUAAAAUUUGGAAAUUCCAAAACCCUAUGAUCUAAUGUGAAAACUGAUCCUGCUCUGCUCUUGUUUGCUUUCAGCAGUCGAUUGCAUUGAGGUGGGCACCUUUUCUUGGACACUUCACAGUUAUGAAGUUUUCUAAAGCCAGUCUCUGAAGCCAGCAGUAUACAAUGUUUUAAAGCCAGCAGAAUACCAUAAAGUUUUCUAAGAGUUUUGAAAAGUGCUAUAAUAUACAAUUUUUGGAAUGGGGACAUAUUCUCGAUGGAAAAUAUUUGUUUCCUCCAGGAGAUCUGUGUGCAAGAUUUAUAACAUGAAAUACUCUGAUGUUUUUCCUAGGAAUCUCCUAGCUGCUUUGAGCUUGAGUUGUCUGACAUUUUAAAAAAGAGCUUCUUUGGAGUUCAAAGCAGCACGCAAGGUACUUUGAAUGUUGGGUACCUUGCAAGACCAAAUUAUAUGCUUGUUAAUAGCUUUUGCCAACUGUUUUCUCUAGCGUUAAAAGCUAGAACAUGGACUUAGAUGGGAAAAUUGAAGCAAUGAGUAUGUCAAGUAUUCACAUCUAUCAAUCUGAGUAAAAAUAUAAAAUUCUAGUUAACGAACUUCCAUUAUUCUAGUUGGAUAUUUGCCAAUUUAAAGUAUAAAGGUAUUUUCUCUCCGUUAUUGUGAGCAACAUCAUGUCAUUUUUUAUGUUUGCACCUUUUUGGUGAUUUUGACUCAUAUGGAUAUUUUUGGGUUAACCUUCAUGUGGAUACAUUGUAAGACUUGAAACAUUUCACCCAAUGAAGUGUUGUUGUAUAUGGUCGAAGAGAACCCUAAACUUUCAUCAAUUUCUCUAAUGAUUUUAUAUUGAAAACUUAUGGAGUAUCUGUUGAAUUUCUUAUUCAGGGUCAAGUUAGCGAAAGCUUUAUUUUAAUCUUGAUCUUUAUCAGAGGUUGAGAUAUGGAUGCCUCUCUUUCUAUUAAGAUGCUGACAGUUUAUCACUAAGCCUCCUGGUAAGCAAGAAAACUUACAAAAUAUAGUGAUGAAUAUUAAUCCUUUGAUCCACGAAUAAUGGUUUGUUCUUGUAUGUUAUUCAAACACCAUAUUCACUAUUCACUUUUGUCAUGAAAGCCUUCUAAUCUUAGGUGAUAUUUUACUUGUUGUAGUUCGUGCCUAAACUUAAUCAUCAUGCUGGGAAAUCUUCGUUGGAUCUCUUGGCAGGGAGCUGACUCUGAAAAGGAUUUGGGAAGAGCUCAAAAGUUAGAUUCUCUGUAUCGUGGGAUUAGUGAGAUCCACAGUAGUGUCCAGCCAUUCUGGUGAGUUUCAACCAACCGCAUUGAGUUAUCUUUUUGAUCAUUUAACAUAUGAUUUUAGAACCAAACAGUCAUGUGAUAAGACCAAACAAGGCACUUCAAGGUAAGUUUUUUCCCCCCUCCUGCUAAAAGGCAGGGACGUGUUGCAUGCAUAGAUACAUAUCUGCAAAAUACACACACAUUCACACACAUACAUACAUAAAUAUGUCAUACAUACAUAUGUACGUACAUGAAUACAUUACAUUAUGUUGUUCAUAUUUCUUUCCUUCAAUUAUGGGACAUGCUGUUAUGCUUUUGAUGAAUGGCAAUGCAAGCUAUGGGAGAUGCUUCCUAGAUAAGUCAUGAAUAAAGGUGUCCUUGGUUAGCUUAAAAAGAGCACAGGUUUGUGAACAGGUUGAAAGUUUUCAACCUGUUUCAUAUUUGGUGCUGGAAAUGGUUUACGAUCUCUUGCCCCUCAACUAACCCUGAGCCUGCGUAAAUCUUUUAAGUAAAUUUUCUCAUUCUAUAAUUAAUCAAAGAUUUAAGUGUCGUGGUACAGGAUUAUGCAAAAAACUUGCUAGCACGGUACUGUACAAUGCUUGCCGGAUCAUGUAGAUGCAUACCAGUCACAAAAAAUAUAUGUUAUCAACACAUAAUAGCAUGAAAUAUUUAUAUUCUUUAGCAGUAAAAUAUUCUAAUUGCUAAUUAUAUAUUUUUUAUUAAAUUUUUUGAAUUUAUUGAGAAAAUUAUUUAUUAAUUUAAAAAAAGAGAGUUUUGAGCAGUGCUAUCGACACGGGAGCUGUAUCGUGUCGAUAUUUUAUUGGCACGAUACGGCACUGUAGAUACGACACUGUAGAUAUGGCCAGUGCCGAUGGACACUUAAUUCUUGCAGUUAACUGAAAUUCUUGUUUAUUAUAAACUUAAAGAUGUAAUUGUUGUAGUGGGUGCUACAUGUUUUAACUUUUAAGUGGAUUGCCGAGUAGGGACAGGGAGGGAAUUUUUUUUUUUUUUUUUUCCGUAGUUAACCUCAAAGAGAGCACUAUGUCACGGACAAAAUGUUUUCCGCUGACUUCUCUUGGACAGUGGUCCCUUUCUCCGAAGGAGCGUUCUAUCGGAGGUUUUGGCUUGGAUCUUCUAGAAGCUUCUACGCGGAUCUCGAGACUGAUGGUGCGGGUACCGGAGGGUCAAGAGUCCCUUAGAAUUUCUAGGUGGAUAAUAAAUGUAAGACUCUUAGAGUUUCUAUGCUUAUUUAUUAGGACCCUUGGGAGACCGUGUGGCCUCCCCUUUUGGCUUGUAGUUUUGUGCCACUUUGCAUCUAUCUAUUUGCUUUAUGGGCGGCGAGUGGCCUUUAAAUAGUUGUGGCCUCCACCCCUCUUAUUUCAGAAUUCUCAUUUGUAUUCUCAAGUUCAAAGUAAUAGAAGAGCUUUCUUCA
Molecule: long non-coding RNA, 3681 nt
Organism: Ananas comosus (pineapple)
Lineage: Eukaryota; Viridiplantae; Streptophyta; Magnoliopsida; Poales; Bromeliaceae
Exons: 3
Source: RefSeq, a predicted model, not a curated record